This 333-nucleotide unclassified non-coding RNA is filed under the name soil metagenome. RNAcentral describes it as "partial contains 5.8S ribosomal RNA, internal transcribed spacer 2, and large subunit ribosomal RNA". The stretch from base 2 to 119 matches the Rfam family "5.8S ribosomal RNA", at positions 37 to 154 of the family's 154-position model. The record is from RNAcentral.
GUGAAGAACGUAGUGAAAUGCGAUAAGUAAUGUGAAUUGCAGAAUUCAGUGAAUCAUCGAAUCUUUGAACGCACAUUGCGCCCCCCAGUAUUCUGGCGGGCAUGCCUGUUCGAGCGUCAUUUCAACCAUCAAGCCCUGCUUGUGUUGGGGUCCUGCGGCUGCCCGCAGGCCCUGAAAACCAGUGGCGGGCUCGCUAGUCACACCGAGCGCAGUAGCACAUCUCGCUCAGGGCGUGCGGCGGGCUCCAGCCGUUAAAGCACCCACCUUUCGCAAGGUUGACCUCGGAUCAGGUAGGAAUACCCGCUGAACUUAAGCAUAUCAAUAAGCGGAGGA